UGUGAAAAGUUCGAUUUUCUUUCGUAUUCAACGAUAUCGGACGAAUUACCGACGACGAGCUAACGUCAUCCUAUAGUGCGAUCCUCGACGUUGCCGCGGAAGCCUCGAAAGAUCGCGAACAACGCUAACAUGUUGGUAUAACCAAGUUUCAGUUUGACGAUGCUUGUUAUUGGUGUGAAAAAUUUUAAACAUCGAUCGUACGGUGUACAAAUAUUUCCAGACAGAUAAAUUCGUCUUCUUAUGUUUUACAAAGCAUAUAAAAAAAAAAAAUGGGUAAUUAACUUUCCAGUAUUUGGGCAUCGAAUCGUUUUUGCGUGUAUUCAAGCUCGUAUUCUUGCGGACACUAUUAAAAAGUUGCAUAAAAGUCGGCGGUCUAGUCGUCGACGCGUACGGAUGUCAGUCGCUACACACGGGUGUCCUUCGAGAACACGAUGCAGCCGCGACUGACCCGCAAGCUGGACCCAAUUGCAUGCAUCGCCUUCUCUCUCGUCGUCUCUUUCACCGGAGCAAAACCGUUCGGAGAAGAAUGCGGAUGAGAAAGUGUGCAAGUACGUGCGUCGGUCACGCGUUAGCCGGAUCGAUGUCCACUGUGUACGCGUGCAAACCGCGAGAAAAAGAAGGCGAAAUGGCAGAGGAGAAAGAAACACGAAGGAGGCGAAUGGAGAAAAAGAAAAAACGGAAGAUGAACGUACACACAUGGACGAGAUAGGGCGGAAAACCGCAUCAUGCGGUUAAGAGUGUCGGCCGUCGAAUUUCUUCGAGCAGUCGGGAUAGAAGUUCACUGUGCGUUUCGCUCUUCGCCUUUAGCGACGAAUCUUUCGCGACGAAUAUCAGCUUUUCUGGUUGGCGAGAAAAUUUGUUCGUAAAGCAGAAUAUUGAGAUUUCGAUGAAGACCAAGAGGGAGAUGCGUCGUAAUCUACCAAUUGAUAAUCAAACUACGACCAUAGUCGGUUACGUGGCAAGAGGAUUAUUGAACUUUUACUAAAUGACGAAACAACGACAACCAUUUUGUCAACGAGCGGGAAAAAUUCACCGACAAACGUAAUAUUUGAAAAGAUUACUCGAUUCUAUGAAAAUUUUAUAAAAAUACACUGGCUUGAAAUUUUUCUCAAGUUUCGCUAGGAACGUUCCGAGCGACCCUAUAAUUUGAAGACACAAUUAUUGUUAUUGCGUUGGAACCAGGGUCCCAUGAGUAUCCCAAGCUAUACGAGUAUAUCUCAAAGAAUAGAGCUCUGCUGCCGAGCUUGCAAUUACCAGAGGGUGACAAGCAGGAUAAAUUGCACCAUCGCCUUCUAAUCGGUUCACUCGACUAAGAGAAAAAAAGAAGAAAAAUUCCUAUUACGAAGAGACGGAUUUUGCGUGGGUAAACAAAACAUCGUCUAAAAUUAAGAGAAGGAAAAGAGUACUAGAAGAGGGUUAAACGUGACGUUAUACACGCUUACAGCGUGACUCACUGCCUCCGUGAGAUAGCACGAUGAUGCUCAGGAAAACGCGACACAAUCUUUGGAACGAAGCUCUACACGUUCAACGGGACACUCGGAACUCGUCGCAACCUAAAAGUACAGUUCGAGAAAACGAUCUAACGAGGCCGUAAAUUAAAAUAUUAAGUGGUAACGCUGAUUUAUAUAGCCACUUACAUAGACGUCUUGUAGAAACGUCUUCUUGAAUCUCGAGAUGCAAAUGUCAUUUGUAAAUUAACAUUUCUCGAUAACACGAUUUCUUUUUACUAAGAUAUGUUACGUUCUCCUUUUUAUCCCUAUUUGUUAUUCUUCAUAACGAUUAAUAGUUGACACCGUACAAUCCUGAACUCGUCUCGUCUUCCCCGACAAUGGAAAAAAAUUGAUCAAACAACUAUCAUACAAUUUGUAAUAAUUGAAACU
Molecule: long non-coding RNA, 1880 nt
Organism: Bombus pyrosoma
Lineage: Eukaryota; Metazoa; Arthropoda; Insecta; Hymenoptera; Apidae
Exons: 4
Source: RefSeq, a predicted model, not a curated record